UUUAUUAUAUAAGUGUAUUAAUAUUGUUAUUAUAUUAUAUUAUAAGAUUUUUAUUUAAUAAAUAUAUUAAAUUAUGACAAGUGUGUGGAUAUAAAUGGAUACAAAUGUAAAAUAAAUAUAUGAUGUUAAUUAGAUAUUUAUAUAUAUAAAGUAAACAAAAGAAAUGAAAAGGAUAGAAAAGAAACAGAAUGAAACGAAACAGAGAGCAAGGGAGAAAAAGAAAGAAAGGAAGAAAAGGGAAAAUUGGGGGUUUGAUGCUUGAAGCUUAAAUAGCUAACGGGGUGCCGGAACAUCCUCAGUUAAGAAAGGAAAAGAUGAAGUCAACGAGGGUUAGCUCGGAAAUCACAGUUUGUAUUUAUAUAAUCCGAACCUAGUUAUUAAUUAUUAUAUUUUAUUCAAUGCCUUUAGUGAAUGUUGAAGUGAGAAUUAUUGUGUUUGAUAAUGGAAGAGAGUUGAUUUGGUAUGUUAUGAAUUUAUUGAAUUAAUAUUGAAUUGAAUUAUAUAUAUAUUAUAAAUA
Molecule: long non-coding RNA, 517 nt
Organism: Gossypium arboreum
Lineage: Eukaryota; Viridiplantae; Streptophyta; Magnoliopsida; Malvales; Malvaceae
Exons: 2
Source: RefSeq, a predicted model, not a curated record